GGAUGUGAGGGUGAUCUGGCUGCGACAUCUGUCACCCCAUGGACAGCCAGGCUGAUCUGGCUGGCUAGGCGGGUGUCCCCUCUUCCUCUUCACCGCUCCAUGUGCGUCCCUCCCAAAACUGCGCGCUCCGUCGAAGAGGACGACCAUCCCCGAUAGAGGAGGACCGUUCUUCGGUCAAGGGUAUACGAGUAGCUGCGCUCCCCUGCUAGAACCUCCAAACAGGCUCUCAAGGUCAAAGGUAGAGACACUGAGGCACACCACUUUUGAUGCAAGUCAUUAUCUAAGGGAAAGCCAGUUCUGACCCUCAGGUUUUCUUG
This 317-nucleotide small nuclear RNA is filed under the name Castor canadensis (American beaver). RNAcentral describes it as "7SK RNA (ENSCCNG00000000073.1)". It matches the Rfam family "7SK RNA". Rfam says of the family: 7SK was discovered as an abundant small nuclear RNA in the mid-70s but a possible function has only recently been suggested. Two independent studies have found that 7SK RNA binds the CDK9/cyclin T complex (known as elongation factor P-TEFb). The record is from RNAcentral. Lineage: Eukaryota; Metazoa; Chordata; Mammalia; Rodentia; Castoridae.